UACGUAGGGUGCGAGCGUUGUCCGGAAUUAUUGGGCGUAAAGAGCUCGUAGGCGGUGUGUCGCGUCGGUCGUGAAAACUUGGGGCUUAACCCUGAGCUUGCGGUCGAUACGGGCAUCACUGGAGUUCGGCAGGGGAGACUGGAAUUCCUGGUGUAGCGGUGAAAUGCGCAGAUAUCUGGAGGAACACCGGUGGCGAAGGCGGCAUCCUGGACCAAUACUGACGCUGAGUGAGCGAAAGCCAGGGGAGCAAACGGG
RNAcentral lists this ribosomal RNA (255 nucleotides) under uncultured bacterium. RNAcentral's name for it is "partial 16S ribosomal RNA". It matches the Rfam family "Bacterial small subunit ribosomal RNA", at positions 524 to 776 of the family's 1533-position model. The record is from RNAcentral.